This 77-nucleotide transfer RNA is filed under the name Ureaplasma sp. RNAcentral describes it as "tRNA-Met". It matches the Rfam family "tRNA". From Rfam's summary of the family: Transfer RNA (tRNA) molecules are approximately 80 nucleotides in length. Their secondary structure includes four short double-helical elements and three loops (D, anti-codon, and T loops). The record is from RNAcentral. Lineage: Bacteria; Bacillati; Mycoplasmatota; Mycoplasmoidales; Mycoplasmoidaceae.
GGCUGGAUAGCUCAGUUGGCUAGAGCAUUCGGUUCAUACCCGAAAGGUCCAGAGUUCAAGUCUCUGUCCAGCCACCA